AACGCGAAGAACCUUACCUAGGCUUGAAAAGCUUAUGACCGGUUGUGAAAGCAACCUUCCAGCAAUGGCAUAAGUACAGGUGCUGCAUGGCUGUCGUCAGCUCGUGCCGUGAGGUGUUGGGUUAAGUCCCGCAACGAGCGCAACCCUUACCAUUAGUUGCCACCGGAGCAAUCCGAGCACUCUAAUGGAACUGCCUACGCAAGUAGUGAGGAAGGUGAGGAUGACGUCAAGUCCGCAUGGCCCUUACGCCUAGGGCUACACACGUGCUACAAUGGCCGCCACAACGGGUAGCAAAAUCGCGAGAUGGAGCCAAUCCCUAAAAAGCGGCCUCAGUUCGGAUUGGAGUCUGCAACUCGACUCCAUGAAGUUGGAAUUGCUAGUAAUCGCGCAUCAGCAUGACACGGUGAAUACUUUCCCGGGUCUUGUACACACCG
This 434-nucleotide ribosomal RNA is filed under the name uncultured bacterium. RNAcentral's name for it is "bacterial SSU rRNA". It matches the Rfam family "Bacterial small subunit ribosomal RNA", at positions 958 to 1392 of the family's 1533-position model. The record is from RNAcentral.